This 796-nucleotide ribosomal RNA is filed under the name uncultured bacterium. RNAcentral's name for it is "bacterial SSU rRNA". It matches the Rfam family "Bacterial small subunit ribosomal RNA", at positions 8 to 796 of the family's 1533-position model. The record is from RNAcentral.
AGAGUUUGAUCCUGGCUCAGGACGAACGCUGGCGGCGCGCUUAACACAUGCAAGUCGUACGGGGUCCUUCGGGGCCCAGUGGCGAACGGGUGCGUAACACGUGAGCAACCUGCCUGUGGGUGGGGGAUAACCCGGGGAAACCCGGGCUAAUACCGCACGAUGUCUUCUGGCCGAUUGGCCGGAUGAUGAAAGGGGCUUAACGGCCUCGCCCAUAGAGGGGCUCGCGGCGUAUCAGCUAGAUGGUGAGGUAACGGCUCACCAUGGCUACGACGCGUAGCCGAUCUGAGAGGAUGAUCGGCCACAUUGGGACUGAGAUACGGCCCAGACUCCUACGGGAGGCAGCAGUGGGGAAUCUUGCGCAAUGGGCGAAAGCCUGACGCAGCGACGCCGCGUGCGGGAGGAAGCUCUUCGGGGUGUAAACCGCUGUCAGGAGGGAAGAAUGGGCACCCGAGGAAAUGCGGGUGUUUUGACGGUACCUCCAAAGGAAGCACCGGCUAACUCUGUGCCAGCAGCCGCGGUAAUACAGAGGGUGCGAGCGUUGUUCGGAAUUACUGGGCGUAAAGCGCGCGCAGGCGGCCCUUUAAGUCUACCCGUGAAAUGCCGGAGCUCAACUCCGUGCACGCCGGGGGAUACUGGAGGGCUGGAGACAGGUAGAGGCAGGCGGAAUUCCGGGUGUAGCGGUGGAAUGCGUAGAGAUCCGGAAGAACACCAGAGGCGAAGGCGGCCUGCUGGGCCUUGUCUGACGCUGAGGCGCGAAAGCGUGGGGAGCGAACAGGAUUAGAUACCCUAGUAGUCC